CUUCAAUAACUCCCACAAGCACCUCAUUACUCAUAAUACUGUGACAUCCUGAGUUGUAAAAGAGGUGCUGUUAUAUAACACAGGCACUGUAUAGCAGCCUUAGGUUAUGAAUAUUAAGAGACAAUCUCAAAUGAGAUAAUAUCAAUAAAGACCUCCUGUCGUCUCUACCCAAGAAAUAAACUAAAGGAAGGCAGUGUCCUUGCAGGCAUUUUGACAUCAGGGAUGGGCAAAAACAUACAUCCAUUUAAGAAUUCUAGAAUCAGAGACUAGGAAGAGUUGAAACAACCUUACAGAUCACUUGAUGCACUUUAUAUAGACCCAGGGGAGAAACAAAAAGACCAACUACUAAAGCUGCUAAAACAAGAUAAAGCAUACUGCAAGGGAAAGGCUGGAGCAGUUCACUGGCUGAAGUUAUAAACUCCAUCAAGAGACACACAAUCAGAUGGCACAACUGUCUUCAGUGGGUCACAGUUUUCCAAAUACAAAGGCGGUGCCUACCGAAGCUCUGGGAUUCUGGAAAAUAUACUGGACUUGGAGACAAAUCAGAAUAAAACAAUUCAACUUUCAAGGUAUUAAAAGGAUUCACCAACUCCUAUCUCUUAACACAAUGGCCAAAAAACUGCUGGACUCAAGGCACAGUCAUGUAUUCCUGGCAUAAGGCCUGCCUGGGUGUUCUAACUCAAUGAGCCCCACAUGCCAGACUAUUUCCACAGAGCUGAUAUGGGACAGGAAGGGCUAAGGAACUUCAAAACUAAUAGUUUGGUGCAACUGAUAUGGACCUGUGCAGUCACUGACCACAUGUAGCACUGAGAACUUGAAAUGUUGCAAGUGUGACUGAGGAAGUGAAUUAUUAAAACUUAUUUUUAACUAAAUUUAAAAGGUGAUAGCUAAUUCAGUCACUAGAAACAUUUUAAGUAUGUAAGUCUACUUUUCCAAUCGUAAGUUUUAUGAAAUCUAACCAACUAUUUAUGAAAAAAAUUCAGUGUCUAAAUUGAAGAUGUGCUAUAAAUGCACAUUAUAUAGGAGAUUUAAAAGACCUGGUCUGAAAAAAAAAAAGAAAGCAAAUAUUUCACUAGAUUUUUUUAUUGAUUAUAUGUUGAAAUAAUGUUUUGAAUACAUUGGUUUAAAUACAAAUAUUAUUUAAAUUGCUUUUGCCUAUUUCUUUUCACUUUUUCUACUGUGGCUACUAGAAAAUUUGAAAUUACAUAUGUGCCUUGUGUUCUAUGUCCAUUAGACUGGGCCAACCUAGACCAUAAUUCUCAUUCUCUCUAAUGAAGUCUCAUCCAACAAUAUGGACCACUUGAGAAACCUGCUCAUUGUUCCUCUGUCCAGUUCAUUCCACUUUAAUGCCAUGUUUCUUUGGUCUCCCAUGUGCCAGGCAUUGUUCUAGGCUAAGAAUACACCAUGUGGGCUCUUAACUGACUGUAGGCAAUAAACAAAGAACAACAAAAAAAAUUGUAUAAUUUCAAGUGCUGUGCAGAACUUAAACUAGGGAAAAGUAAUGGAGAGAGACUGGGUGAUGUGUUUAUGCUGAGUGGUGAGGGGAACUGCUGUGGGGAGGUCCUGGGGCUGUAAUCUGAACAGCAGGGAGCCACCCAUGCCAGGCUGGGACAAACAACUGGUCAAAGAACUUCGCAAGGAAUAAGUUGAAGUGCUUGAAGAAGGAAAAGAACAUCAGUGUGACUGGAGUACUGCUGUGCAGAGGGAUGUAGGAGAGGACAUCCUAGCAUGCACACUGCACUGAGAAUCUGGACUCAUGCUUAAGCCUCUUCUCUCACAUCAACUAGGCUUGGAUCCUGGGUAAGUCACUUCUCCACUCAGGAUGGCCUCCAUUUCCUCAUGCACUAAACACAGUGGCAAUUACUAAAGGAUCUUCCUUUCAGGUCUGACGGCAUAGACUUUUGUGACUCUUCUGUAUAUUCUAGGGAAUAAAAGUCCUGUCCUAGAAAAUUAAAGAAAGAGGAAACAAACAGAAACACUCUGACCCUUUAAAGAUUUAGCAACUGCUUAUCUGAUGCUUACCUUUCUCUUCCUCUCCCUCUUCUUUAAAAAAAUGAAAAUUACAUGACAUCUAGCCAACCCACUCUCAUAUAACAUCAAAGGGUAAACUUCUAAAUUCCCUGUUGUACACACAAGAAUGUUUUCCUCCAAAAUCUGGACCACCUUCCUCACAAAUACAAUCAGAUGUCCUGCACAGAGACUGCCCUUCUUUAUAAUUAGACUACAAUUCCUAUGAAAGUCAAUAUUUUCUAGUUUUCAGAACUUUACGUUUUCGAAGUAUUCCUUGAACUUCGGGAAAUUUGGAGGAUUGUCAGGCUGGCAAUGAUUCUGCCAAAAGUUUCUUCUGUGGCAAAACAUUAUCAAGGAGACCACAUCUAUAAAAGCCACAUCUCCAGGGAAAGAAUAAAAUACCUGGUCAUACUCAUUUAUCAUUAUGAUUUAAUAAUGCAAAAGAGAGGCCCAUGGGACUACAUCCAGGGCGAACUUCAAUUACAUCUCUAACCCAGGGGCAUAUGACAAAUGUUUAACAAUCAGCCCUUCACCAGCCAUCUCCAGCCCUUACAUGGAACCUCCAUACUGGUUUUCAGAGAAUGAGACUUAGGACGGGUUCAUAGAGGAGAGGAGGAAGAUGCAGUAAGUUGUAUUUGUAACAUGAUACAUGAGAACCAGGAACAAGGUCCUAGCAAUGGAAGCGAGAUGAGGUUUUACUUUAUAUUCAGAGAGAUGGGAGGAGUAGGGGAGCACAUGAUGAUGAUGGUAAGAAUAACAUCAGCCCAACAUUUAUAGCACUUUUUAAAAUGCUUUGUAUAUAUUAAACCAAUCAAACAU
Molecule: long non-coding RNA, 2829 nt
Filed under: Homo sapiens (human)
Lineage: Eukaryota; Metazoa; Chordata; Mammalia; Primates; Hominidae
Description: HSALNT0060723
Source: RNAcentral